This is a non-coding RNA of Dallia pectoralis (Alaska blackfish), 75 nucleotides long. The record is from the annotation of a GenBank genome assembly. NCBI's taxonomy places the organism in Eukaryota, Metazoa, Chordata, Actinopteri, Esociformes, Umbridae.
CAGUUGCUAGCUCAGUGGUAGAGUCCAUGCUUUGUGUGUAUGACGUCCUCGGUUCAAAUCCCACCUGGUCGCUGU